RNAcentral lists this ribosomal RNA (368 nucleotides) under uncultured organism. RNAcentral describes it as "bacterial SSU rRNA". It matches the Rfam family "Bacterial small subunit ribosomal RNA", at positions 526 to 896 of the family's 1533-position model. The record is from RNAcentral.
CGAAGGUCCCAAGCGUUAUCCGGAUUUAUUGGGUUUAAAGGGUGCGUAGGCGGUCUAUUAAGUCAGUGGUGAAAGCCCCAAGCUCAACUUGGGAACUGCCAUUGAUACUGAUGGACUUGAGUACAUUUGAGGUGGGCGGAAUGUGUCAUGUAGCGGUGAAAUGCUUAGAUAUGACACAGAACACCGAUUGCGAAGGCAGCUCACUAAACUGUAACUGACGCUGAGGCACGAAAGCGUGGGGAGCAAACAGGAUUAGAUACCCUGGUAGUCCACGCCCUAAACGAUGAUCACUCGAUGUGUGCGAUAUACUGUACGCGUCUGAGCGAAAGCAUUAAGUGAUCCACCUGGGGAGUACGACCGCAAGGUUG